RNAcentral lists this ribosomal RNA (746 nucleotides) under uncultured fungus. Its description in RNAcentral is "eukaryotic LSU rRNA". The stretch from base 246 to 399 matches the Rfam family "5.8S ribosomal RNA". Lineage: Eukaryota; Fungi. The record is from RNAcentral.
UAUUGAAAUAAACCUGAUGAGUUGCUGCUGGCUCUCUAGAGAGCAUGUGCACACUUGUCGUCUUUAUAUAUCUCCACCUGUGCACCUAUUGUAGACCUGGAUAUCUCUCUGAAUGCUAGCAUUUNGGUAUGAGGAUUGGCUUUCCGCCUCUCCNUACAUUUUCAGGCCUAUGUUAUUUCAUAUAACCUCAAUGUAUGUUAUGGAAUGUAAUACUAUGGGCUUCUGUGGCCCUAUAAACCUUAUACAACUNUCAGCAACGGAUCUCUUGGCUCUCGCAUCGAUGAAGAACGCAGCGAAAUGCGAUAAGUAAUGUGAAUUGCAGAAUUCAGUGAAUCAUCGAAUCUUUGAACGCACCUUGCACUCCUUGGUAUUCCGAGGAGUAUGCNUGUUUGAGUGUCAUUAAUAUAUCAACCUCUCAAGCUUUUGCUUGUGGAGUGUAUGGAUGUGGGGGGAAUUAUUUUGCUGGCCUUUUUUAUGAGGUUGGCUCCCCUGAAAUGCAUUGGCAGAACGAUUUGUUGACCGUUUAUUGGUGUGAUAACUAUCUACGCUGUUGACGUGAAGCAAGUUCAGCUUAUAACAGUCCAUUUACUUGGACAACAUAUUUAUUAAUGUGACCUCAAAUCAGGUAGGACUACCCGCUGAACUUAAGCAUAUCAAUAAGCGGAGGAAAAGAAACUAACAAGGANUCCCCUAGUAACUGCGAGUGAAGCGGGAAAAGCUCNAAUUUAAAAUCUGUCAGUCUUUGG